This 490-nucleotide ribosomal RNA is filed under the name uncultured bacterium. RNAcentral describes it as "partial 16S ribosomal RNA". It matches the Rfam family "Bacterial small subunit ribosomal RNA", at positions 30 to 507 of the family's 1533-position model. The record is from RNAcentral.
AUUGAACGCUGGCGGCAGGCCUAACACAUGCAAGUCGAGCGGCAGCGGAAAGUAGCUUGCUACUUUGCCGGCGAGCGGCGGACGGGUGAGUAAUGUCUGGGAAACUGCCUGAUGGAGGGGGAUAACUACUGGAAACGGUAGCUAAUACCGCAUAACGUCGCAAGACCAAAGAGGGGGACCUUCGGGCCUCUUGCCAUCAGAUGUGCCCAGAUGGGAUUAGCUAGUAGGGGGGGUAACGGCUCACCUAGGCGACGAUCGCUAGCUGGUCUGAGAGGAUGACCAGCCACACUGGAACUGAGACACGGUCCAGACUCCUACGGGAGGCAGCAGUGGGGAAUAUUGCACAAUGGGCGCAAGCCUGAUGCAGCCAUGCCGCGUGUAUGAAGAAGGCCUUCGGGUUGUAAAGUACUUUCAGCGGGGAGGAAGGUGUUGAGGUUAAUACCCUCAGCAAUUGACGUUACCCGCAGAAGAAGCACCGGCUAACUCCGUG